This 189-nucleotide ribosomal RNA is filed under the name uncultured bacterium. Its description in RNAcentral is "partial 16S ribosomal RNA". It matches the Rfam family "Bacterial small subunit ribosomal RNA", at positions 338 to 524 of the family's 1533-position model. The record is from RNAcentral.
CCUACGGGAGGCAGCAGUAAGGAAUAUUGGUCAAUGGACGCAAGCCUGAACCAGCCAUGCCGCGUGCAGGAAGACGGCCCUACGGGUUGUAAACUGCUUUUGUACCGGAAUAAACCCUUUUACGUGUAAGAGGCUGAAUGUACGGUAAGAAUAAGGAUCGGCUAACUCCGUGCCAGCAGCCGCGGUAAU